This 31-nucleotide non-coding RNA is filed under the name Homo sapiens (human). Lineage: Eukaryota; Metazoa; Chordata; Mammalia; Primates; Hominidae. The record is from RNAcentral.
ACGAGGGCCAGGCCUGUGUGUUGAAUGCUGU